CAGAUGCAUAGAACGGGAGCAUAAAAUGACCACUCUUAAGCCUGUUUAUUGAUUACAAACCUGUUAGGAUCACAACCACAAUGGUAAAAGAAGGAAUUGUUCUUUAGCAAUCAGUUUGCUUUACUUGAUUGAUUUUUGGAAUAAAAUAAGAGAGACAUUUUCCCAGUAGAAGACUUGAUUGGUUUUGUUUUGCUUUAUUGUUGGGCUAGUUGGCACUACUAACUUCUACCAACCUACAACUUAUCCAAAUCUGCUCAUAUGGCUGCCCUCUGCAGCUGAGGUAUGACCUUAAGAAACGUAUGCAUUUGGUUUACACCAUUAUACAGGUGCUCUGUAUCACUUUCUGUUCUUCAGAUUGAGUUCUCUGCCAGAGAAGCCACUGAUCAUAGGAAGGAAUAGAACCAAACUUCAGAAGGGCCCUUCAAUGGCCAGGCUUACCAUUUUCAAACCUUCACAGAAAGAUGGUGAAUUUGAAUGAUCGGCACUUGCUGAAGGUGGAGUUGGGGGAACACCACUGCAAACACCGAAGGUGGCCAAGAUACAACCAAGGAUAGCAGGAGCUGCAUACACUCCAAUC
This is a long non-coding RNA of Python bivittatus (Burmese python), 577 nucleotides long. RefSeq lists it as uncharacterized. The record is from RefSeq and is a predicted model, not a curated record. Lineage: Eukaryota; Metazoa; Chordata; Lepidosauria; Squamata; Pythonidae.